AGAGUUUGAUCAUGGCUCAGGACUAACGCUGGCGGCGUGCCUAACACAUGCAAGUCGAACGAUUCUUUGAUUUAUAGCAAUAUUUAUUAAAGAGGAGUGGCGAACGGGUGAGUAACACGUAGAUAAUCUGCCUUUCAGACGGGGACAACUCAGGGAAACUUGUGCUAAUACCCGAUGAGACCACAAGAAGGGAUUUUUGUGGCCAAAGGCGGGCAGCAAUGCUCGUGCUGAAAGAUGAGUCUGCGUCCUAUCAGCUAGUUGGUGGGGUAAAUGCCUACCAAGGCUAAGACGGGUAGCCGGCCUGAGAGGGUGAACGGCCACACUGGGACUGAGACACGGCCCAGACUCCUACGGGAGGCAGCAGUGAGGAAUUUUCCGCAAUGGGCGCAAGCCUGACGGAGCGACGCCGCGUGAGGGAUGACAGCUUUCGGGUUGUAAACCUCUUUUAUUAAGGAAAAAGAUCUAUAUGCUAAUAUCAUGUAGAUUUGAUGGUACUUAUUGAAUAAGCCCCGGCUAACUACGUGCCAGCAGCCGCGGUAAUACGUAGGGGGCGAGCGUUGUCCAGAGUUACUGGGCGUAAAGAGCGUGUAGGCGGUUGAAAAAGUCAGGUGUGAAAUUCUUCGGCUCAACCGAGGGACUGCGCUUGAAACUUUUCGACUGGAGUUUGGGAGGGGCAACCGGAAUUCCUGGUGUAACGGUGAAAUGUGUAGAUAUCAGGAGGAACACCCGUGGCGAAGGCGGGUUGCUGGACCAAAACUGACGCUGAGACGCGAAAGCGUGGGUAGCAAACAGGGAUUAGAUACCCUGGUAGUCCACGCUGUAAACGAUGAGUGCUAGGUGUA
RNAcentral lists this ribosomal RNA (842 nucleotides) under uncultured bacterium. Its description in RNAcentral is "bacterial SSU rRNA". It matches the Rfam family "Bacterial small subunit ribosomal RNA", at positions 8 to 824 of the family's 1533-position model. The record is from RNAcentral.